CGAUCCGAUUGGCCAAAGUUUCCAAACCGCGCCAUUUCGAGCAACAGAAGGACGCUGUCGACCAUGGGGAAGACAAAUUCGUCAGCAUUAACUUUGAGAACGUUAAAGAACUUACUAGAAAACCGAUAAAAGAUCAUCAUAUAGAAGGGGAAUUCAUCAUUGCAACAUUUGGCAAAGCUCGGAUCUCGGAUGACAGGCAACACCACAGCAAAAGAGGAAAGCAAACAAGACUGUUGUUGCUCGAAAGGAAAGGAAGCCACAAGUUCUUAAAGAGAAAGCAUAUAAAGGCUACACAAAGAAAUCAUGGCUGAGAAGUAUUCCGUUGCAGCAGUGCAAGUUCGUGAUAAAAUUAUGGACAUACAGAAGCCUUCCCGAAAUAGAGACUUUUUUGACAAGUUGUGUACUUCCCUGUGUACUCGCCUGUGGUGAUCUCAACUAGCAAGAAGUUGUAUUAUACACAUGUAAAGAACAGUUUGUAAGCUCUUAAACCAUUGUACAGAAUUUUGGUAGGUAUUUAGGACACAUUUUGUUGUUGUUGUUUAAGACAGAAGUGUAUAAAAGCAUCCUUGUAGGAAAUUUGGAUGUAAUGAUUUUUUUGGAGUUAUGCUCAUGUUAAAAUCAAAUGAAGUG
Saccostrea cuccullata (small rock oyster) is the source of this 630-nucleotide long non-coding RNA. RefSeq lists it as uncharacterized. NCBI's taxonomy places the organism in Eukaryota, Metazoa, Mollusca, Bivalvia, Ostreida, Ostreidae. The transcript is spliced from 4 exons. The record is from RefSeq and is a predicted model, not a curated record.